UAGCUCUGGUGUCUCUUAAAUCACGCAUAAAUCUUUUGCCUUUUGGUAAAGAUUUCUGUGGAGAGGAACAUCAAUGAGUUUGAUGUACUUUUAUGAGCUUUGCUCUGGCAAAGCU
Hemibagrus wyckioides is the source of this 115-nucleotide small nuclear RNA. RefSeq annotates it as U5 spliceosomal RNA. The transcript has a single exon. The record is from RefSeq and is a predicted model, not a curated record. Lineage: Eukaryota; Metazoa; Chordata; Actinopteri; Siluriformes; Bagridae.